AACGCACAUUGCACUCUGUUUCGGCAGAGUAUACCUGUUUGAGAAUCUAUAGUAUUCAUUCACCUAGUUGGUACUUUACGGUGCUGGCGAUGGUGAGAUUUGAGGCGUCGCCCUAACACGGCGUGCUUUUAAAACUAUGGUUGUCGGUUGCUGUUAGUAACGGAAAAGUAUGUGUAUGGACUUCGGUUCUCUUAUACCCAGUACGUAGGCAGCUUUUGGCCGGCACUCACCUAUUAAAGUCAGUUUUGCUGGCUUGAACCAUGGUCUCAAAUCAGGUAGGACGACCCGCUGAACUUAA
Molecule: unclassified non-coding RNA, 298 nt
Filed under: uncultured fungus
Lineage: Eukaryota; Fungi
Description: partial contains 5.8S ribosomal RNA, internal transcribed spacer 2, and large subunit ribosomal RNA
Source: RNAcentral